RNAcentral lists this long non-coding RNA (835 nucleotides) under Phascolarctos cinereus (koala). Its description in RNAcentral is "lncRNA (ENSPCIG00000027231.2)". The record is from RNAcentral. Lineage: Eukaryota; Metazoa; Chordata; Mammalia; Diprotodontia; Phascolarctidae.
UGCCAGGUUUUCCUCAGAUGCCUUCUUUUCAUUUUUUUUUUUAUUGGUAGGAAACAAAACAGCCUGAAUACAGUUGUUCUCCCACCCCAAAACUUUCCACCUUCAGACAGGGGAGAACAUACCAUUCAUCAUACUGUACAUUUCCUUUGUAGUAAAUAUUAGUGGUUUUAAUUACCAAAUUUUGUUGACUCAACGUAAUAUGCAGUUUGGGAGUUGAAAGGAGCGUGAGUAACUAAAAUCACCUCCCAUUUUCCAGGAACUUUGUUCCCUAAAUGCAGGAAGUUGUAAAAUCUCUGAUAGCAAAUCUGAUUGAUCCACGGGGCCACACUGCAAAUGACGGUCUGCUGGGGCGUCAGUGUCUCGAUGAAAAAGAGCCAAGAGAUGAAGUCAGGGCGGCUCAGCCGUCAAUCUUUACUCUGAAAUUAGGGAAGGCUCUGGGAUCCUCAUGUAGUCGCUCUGAUACAUGGGAAAGACACUGGUUUUGCCUGCUAGCCGUGCUGACCAAUUCUCUUCAUAUUUAUAUUGACUGUCGCUUUAAGAAGGAAGGCAAGAAGGCUUGAUUUGGACAGAGCUGUAAAGCAGACUGAUGUCGGGAGAAGACUCAGUGUAGAGUGGUGUUAGGGUGAAACUGACUAGUGUCUGUUUCCCCAUCAUCCCUCCCAUUGCCUCUGAUGACAUUUACCUGUCAAGCAGCAGAACCCAGAGGAUCCAUAAACUCUCGUGUAGGAAUGAUGGAGGGAAGGCACAGGACGGCUUCCUUAAGCUGGGGGCAACUUCUGGCCACCAAAACUGUUUCAGAAAUAAAGGGAUGGUUUGUUGUGAUGACUAGAACUUU